RNAcentral lists this ribosomal RNA (330 nucleotides) under uncultured bacterium. RNAcentral's name for it is "bacterial SSU rRNA". It matches the Rfam family "Bacterial small subunit ribosomal RNA", at positions 568 to 898 of the family's 1533-position model. The record is from RNAcentral.
UGCGUAGGCGGCCCUGUAAGUAUGGUGUGAAAUCUCCCGGCUUAACUGGGAGGGUGCGCUAUAGACUGCGGGGCUCGAGUGUGGGAGAGGAAAGUGGAAUUCCUGGUGUAGCGGUGAAAUGCGUAGAUAUCAGGAGGAACACCGGUGGUGUAGACGGCUUUCUGGACCAUAACUGACGCUGAGGCACGAAAGCGUGGGUAGCAAACAGGAUUAGAUACCCUGGUAGUCCACGCCCUAAACGAUGCAUAUUUGGUGUGGGUCAUUCAGUUGAUCCGUGCCGGAGCUAACGCGUUAAAUAUGCCGCCUGGGGAGUACAGUCGCAAGGCUGAA